AAACUUUCAACAACGGAUCUCUUGGCUCUAGCAUCGAUGAAGAACGCAGCGAAAUGCGAUAAGUAAUGUGAAUUGCAAAAUUCAGUGAAUCAUCGAAUCUUUGAACGCACAUUGCGCCUGGCAGUAUUUUGCCAGGCAUGCCUGUCCGAGCGUCAUUU
RNAcentral lists this ribosomal RNA (158 nucleotides) under Ceratocystis albifundus. RNAcentral's name for it is "5.8S ribosomal RNA". It matches the Rfam family "5.8S ribosomal RNA". Rfam says of the family: 5.8S ribosomal RNA (5.8S rRNA) is a component of the large subunit of the eukaryotic ribosome. It is transcribed by RNA polymerase I as part of the 45S precursor that also contains 18S and 28S rRNA. The record is from RNAcentral. Lineage: Eukaryota; Fungi; Ascomycota; Sordariomycetes; Microascales; Ceratocystidaceae.